UACGGGGGGGGCAAGCGUUGUUCGGAAUUACUGGGCGUAAAGGGCUCGUAGGCGGCCAACUAAGUCGGACGUGAAAUCCCUCGGCUUAACCGGGGAACUGCGUCCGAUACUGGAUGGCUCGAGUUUGGGAGAGGGAUGCGGAAUUCCAGGUGUAGCGGUGAAAUGCGUAGAUAUCUGGAGGAACACCGGUGGCGAAGGCGGCAUCCUGGACCAAUACUGACGCUGAAGCGCGAAAGCCAGGGGAGCAAACGGG
Molecule: ribosomal RNA, 253 nt
Filed under: uncultured bacterium
Lineage: Bacteria
Description: partial 16S ribosomal RNA
Rfam family: Bacterial small subunit ribosomal RNA
Source: RNAcentral